This 552-nucleotide ribosomal RNA is filed under the name soil bacterium LB-P1-2. RNAcentral's name for it is "bacterial SSU rRNA". It matches the Rfam family "Bacterial small subunit ribosomal RNA", at positions 355 to 898 of the family's 1533-position model. The record is from RNAcentral.
UAGGGAAUCUUCGGCAAUGGACGAAAGUCUGACCGAGCAACGCCGCGUGAGUGAAGAAGGUUUUCGGAUCGUAAAACUCUGUUGUUAGAGAAGAACAAGUGGGAGAGUAACUGUUCCCACCUUGACGGUAUCUAACCAGAAAGCCACGGCUAACUACGUGCCAGCAGCCGCGGUAAUACGUAGGUGGCAAGCGUUGUCCGGAUUUAUUGGGCGUAAAGCGAGCGCAGGCGGUUUCUUAAGUCUGAUGUGAAAGCCCUCGGCUCAACCGAGGAAGGUCAUUGGAAACUGGGGAACUUGAAUGCAGAAGAGGAGAGUGGAAUUCCAUGUGUAGCGGUGAAAUGCGUAGAUAUAUGGAGGAACACCAGUGGCGAAGGCGACUCUCUGGUCUGUAAUUGACGCUGAGGCUCGAAAGCGUGGGGAGCAAACAGGAUUAGAUACCCUGGUAGUCCACGCCGUAAACGAUGAGUGCUAAGUGUUGGAGGGUUUCCGCCCUUCAGUGCUGCAGUUAACGCAUUAAGCACUCCGCCUGGGGAGUACGGCCGCAAGGCGUGC